GAUGAACGCUGGCGGCGUGCUUAAUACAUGCAAGUCGAACGGAAAGGCUACUGAUUGCAGCGGCACUCGUGUGGCGAACGGGUGAGUAUCACGUGGGUGAACUGCCCCGCAAUUCGGGAUAAGCCUGGGAAACUGGGUCUCUUAUCGGAUAGGAUAGCUUUUUGGAUGGUGUGGUGGAAAGUUUUUUCGGUAUGCGAUCACCUAGCGGCCUAUCAGCUUGUUGGUGGGGUAAUGGCAUACUAAGGCGUUGACGGGUAGCCGGCCUGUGAGGGUGUACGGACACAUUGGGACUGAGAGACGGCGCAGACUCCUACGGGAGGCAGCGGUGGAGAGUAUUGCGCAAUAGGCGCAAGCCAGAGGCAGCGACGCCGGGUGGGGGAUAACGGGCUUCGGGUUGUAAACACCUGUCGCUAAGAACAAAGAGUAAUUGACGGUACCUGGUGAGGAAGCACCGGCUAACUACGUG
This 466-nucleotide ribosomal RNA is filed under the name uncultured bacterium. Its description in RNAcentral is "partial 16S ribosomal RNA". It matches the Rfam family "Bacterial small subunit ribosomal RNA", at positions 28 to 507 of the family's 1533-position model. The record is from RNAcentral.